GGCGCGGUGGCCGAAUGGCUAGGCACCGGACUGCAAAUCCGUUUAUCCCGGUUCGAUUCCGGGCCGCGCCUCCA
RNAcentral lists this transfer RNA (74 nucleotides) under Allostella sp. ATCC 35155. RNAcentral's name for it is "Stella sp. ATCC 35155 tRNA-Cys". It matches the Rfam family "tRNA". Rfam says of the family: Transfer RNA (tRNA) molecules are approximately 80 nucleotides in length. Their secondary structure includes four short double-helical elements and three loops (D, anti-codon, and T loops). Lineage: Bacteria; Pseudomonadati; Pseudomonadota; Alphaproteobacteria; Rhodospirillales; Allostellaceae. The record is from RNAcentral.